UACGGGGGGGGCAAGCGUUGUUCGGAAUUACUGGGCGUAAAGGGCGCGUAGGCGGCCAUUCAAGUCGGGGGUGAAAGCCCAGGGCUCAACCCUGGAAUUGCCUUCGAUACUGUUUGGCUAGAGACCGGAAGAGGUUAGUGGAACUGCGAGUGUAGAGGUGAAAUUCGUAGAUAUUCGCAAGAACACCAGUGGCGAAGGCGGCUAACUGGUCCGGUUCUGACGCUGAGGCGCGAAAGCGUGGGGAGCAAACAGG
Molecule: ribosomal RNA, 253 nt
Filed under: uncultured bacterium
Lineage: Bacteria
Description: partial 16S ribosomal RNA
Rfam family: Bacterial small subunit ribosomal RNA
Source: RNAcentral